Molecule: small nuclear RNA, 107 nt
Organism: Jaculus jaculus (lesser Egyptian jerboa)
Lineage: Eukaryota; Metazoa; Chordata; Mammalia; Rodentia; Dipodidae
Source: RefSeq, a predicted model, not a curated record
GUGCUUGCUUCAGCAGCAUGUAUACUAAAAUUGGAAUAAUAUAGAGAAGAUUAGCAUGGUCCCUGCUUAAGGAUGCCGUGCACAUUCUUGAAGCAAUCCACAUUUUU